Gallus gallus (chicken) is the source of this 57-nucleotide microRNA precursor. The record is from Ensembl. NCBI's taxonomy places the organism in Eukaryota, Metazoa, Chordata, Aves, Galliformes, Phasianidae.
GCAUGGUGUAGUGACGCAGGCAGAGCUAUGGCCCUGCCAUAAGUACCUGCAAGGCAA